This is a long non-coding RNA of Zingiber officinale, 1091 nucleotides long. RefSeq lists it as uncharacterized. The record is from RefSeq and is a predicted model, not a curated record. NCBI's taxonomy places the organism in Eukaryota, Viridiplantae, Streptophyta, Magnoliopsida, Zingiberales, Zingiberaceae. The transcript is spliced from 3 exons.
CCGAAGCCCAAAACACUCGCCGCCUUCAGUGCUCGUUCUCUAGGUCUGCGGCGAGCCUCUUGCUUUCGCACUCCGCUGAAUGGGCUUUUCCGCCUGUACCUUGUUACUCCGGCGGCCGUCGCCCGUCUCCGACGCCGUAGUGGUCGCACUCUAGGUUGCUGAUUUGGGGCUCGCGCAGGUUAUCUGUAGAGUUGGGUGCCGGGUGUGGCUCCACGCCUCACGUCCCAUCUGUCGCUUAGCAUGAGAGCGUGCUGCGAGUUCUCCAGGGGUGGCAAAAAUGGGUGAUUCAGUGGAUCGAUGUCGCACUGGAUUCAGGAGAAUAUGCCCUCGUUUCGAGUCAUUAAAUAGGGUUUCUCCUCAUGACGGUCACAAAUCCCUACUGAAAGAAACAACUGACAUCUAGUUCUCGACUUAGUAUUUGCUUGCAGUGAGCAAAAAAUACCUAACUGCUAAAUUGGUGGUUUAAUAUCCGCUGAUGGAAACAGUUUGGAUCUGUCAAAAUUACCAUGCCAUCAAACAGUGGUUGAAAAUGAUUUAGAGGUCCAUGAUAUGAAAUCAAUGGUCUGAUCUAUAGUUAUUUUUCCCUACUAGUUGGGUUAGCUACAUGGAACGGAUUUCACCAUUGAGCUAAAGUAUAUAGCUAUUUGCAAGACUUCUCUAGAGGCUCUGGAACAUGGAUCUCAAGAUCACUUUAGGAUCUAUCGGUACCUUAUCUCUGACUAUGUUAAUGUGAUAUUUUUACGGAAUUUAAAGAUUUGAAUAUCACGAGUGAUGUGGUCUUGAAAUCAAUCGUUAGAGUAAACUUUUGCUCGCAUUAUUUCUCAUGUAAUCCAAGUGUUUGUACCGUUGCUUGACUGGUUGCUGUUUAUUUCCUACUGAGGCAGGUACGCAACAGUUUUCUGAAAUGAACUAACAGAAUUGCUAUAAACGUUGGAGAGUUGAACUGUUGAACGCCUUUCAGUCACCUGAGUUUCGUUGUUCUUCAUCCUAUUUAAUUGAUUUUUGGUUAAUUUUAAAUUUUAUAUUUGUAAUAAAUAACAAACGCCGUUGGCUGUUAAUUGACAAUAUAAUCACGCUUUAUUCAAGUGAUA